RNAcentral lists this microRNA precursor (67 nucleotides) under Chlorocebus sabaeus (green monkey). RNAcentral describes it as "miRNA (ENSCSAG00000025630.1)". The record is from RNAcentral. Lineage: Eukaryota; Metazoa; Chordata; Mammalia; Primates; Cercopithecidae.
AGUAGAGAUGGGGUUUCACCAUGUUGGCCAGGCUGGUCUCAAACUCCUGACCUUGGGUGAUCCACCA